This 491-nucleotide ribosomal RNA is filed under the name uncultured bacterium. RNAcentral's name for it is "bacterial SSU rRNA". It matches the Rfam family "Bacterial small subunit ribosomal RNA", at positions 29 to 508 of the family's 1533-position model. The record is from RNAcentral.
AGUGAACGCUGGCGGCAGGCCUAAUACAUGCAAGUCGAACGGCAGCACAGCAGAGCUUGCUCUGUGGGUGGCGAGUGGCGGACGGGUGAGGGAAUACAUGGGAAUCUGCCCAGUCGUGGGGGAUAACGUAUGGAAACGUACGCUAAUACCGCAUGCGCCCUACGGGGGAAAGUCGGGACCGCAAGGCCUGACGCGAUUGGAUGAGCCCAUGUUCGAUUAGCUAGUUGGCGGGGUAAAGGCCCACCAAGGCGACGAUCGAUAGCUGGUCUGAGAGGAUGAUCAGGCCACACUGGAACUGAGACACGGUCCAGACUCCUACGGGAGCAGCAGUAGGGAAUAUUGGACAAUGGGGGCAACCCUGAUCCAGCCAUGCCGCGUGAGUGAAGAAGGCCCUCGGGUUGUAAAGCUCUUUUGUCCGGAAAGAAAAGCAUCUGGUUAAUACCCGGGUGUUCUGACGGUACCGGAAGAAUAAGCACCGGCUAACUUCGUGC